UACAGAGGGGGCAAGCGUUAUUCGGAAUUAUUGGGCGUAAAGGGCGCGUAGGCGGCCUGGCAAGUGGAGGGUGAAAUCCCUCGGCUUAACCGAGGAACUGCCCUCCAAACUGCCUGGCUUGAGUCCGGGAGAGGUGAGUGGAAUUCCCAGUGUAGCGGUGAAAUGCGUAGAUAUUGGGAGGAACACCAGUGGCGAAGGCGGCUCACUGGACCGGAACUGACGCUGAGGCGCGAAAGCGUGGGGAGCGAACAGG
This 253-nucleotide ribosomal RNA is filed under the name uncultured bacterium. RNAcentral describes it as "partial 16S ribosomal RNA". It matches the Rfam family "Bacterial small subunit ribosomal RNA", at positions 524 to 776 of the family's 1533-position model. The record is from RNAcentral.